CCUACGGGAGGCAGCAGUGGGGAAUAUUGCACAAUGGGCGAAACCCUGAUGCAGCGACGCCGCGUGAGUGAUGAAGGAAUUCGUUAUGUUAAGCUCUUUUUGCAGGGAAGAAAAUGACGGUACCUGAGUAAGAAGCCCCGUCUAACUACGUGCCAGCCGCCGAGGUAAUACGUAGGCGGCAAGCGUUAUACGGAUUUACUGGGUGUUAAGGGAGCGUAGACGGCUGUGCAAGUCUGGCGUGAAAUGCGGGGGCUCAACCCCCGGACUGCUCUGGAAACCGUACGGCUUGAGUGCAGGAAAGGUAAGUGGAAUUCGUAGUGUAGCGGUGAAAUGCGUAGAUAUGAGGAGGAACACCAGUGGCGAAGGCGGCUUACUGGACUGUAACUGACGCUGAGGCUCGAAAGCGUGGGGAGCGAACAGGAUUAGAUACCCCAGUAGUC
This 440-nucleotide ribosomal RNA is filed under the name uncultured bacterium. RNAcentral describes it as "partial 16S ribosomal RNA". It matches the Rfam family "Bacterial small subunit ribosomal RNA", at positions 338 to 795 of the family's 1533-position model. The record is from RNAcentral.